AAGUCGUAACAAGGUAACCGUAGGUGAACCUGCGGUUGGAUCAUUAAUGUAUUAUGGUUGGUAUCGUUUGAUCAUCGUCGUUAGAUAUGUUCAUUUUUGAUAUUGACUACAUAUUAAUGGAUGAGUUGCUCUGUUAAAAAGGAGUGAUUCACCAACACCCCAAAAAUUAUCUUGCAUCAAUUAUUUUGAGUUUUGUUUGUCUUUAUAUGGUUAAUUGUUCCCCGUAAAAGGAGUGUCCUUUGACCCUAUGCGACUAACUCAACUAAUAUAAACUUUUAUUCAUUUUAUUCAAGUUAUAUCUAUUAAAAAGAUAAAACAACUUUUGACAAUGGAUCUCUUGGCUCUC
RNAcentral lists this unclassified non-coding RNA (346 nucleotides) under fungal sp. RNAcentral's name for it is "partial internal transcribed spacer region". The stretch from base 1 to 46 matches the Rfam family "Eukaryotic small subunit ribosomal RNA", at positions 1786 to 1831 of the family's 1831-position model. Lineage: Eukaryota; Fungi. The record is from RNAcentral.